RNAcentral lists this ribosomal RNA (776 nucleotides) under uncultured Neocallimastigales. RNAcentral describes it as "partial large subunit ribosomal RNA". It matches the Rfam family "Eukaryotic large subunit ribosomal RNA", at positions 20 to 635 of the family's 3401-position model. The record is from RNAcentral. Lineage: Eukaryota; Fungi; Neocallimastigomycota; Neocallimastigomycetes; Neocallimastigales.
UACUAGAGUAGCACUCGCAUAUCAAUAAGCGGAGGAAAAGAAACUAACAAGGAUUCCCUUAGUAACGGCGAGUGAAGCGGGAAGAGCUCAAAUUUGAAAUCUUCAAGGUUCUACCUUGACGAAUUGUAGUUUAUAGAAGUGUUUUCUGUUAGUGGAGUGGCAAAAGUUCUUUGGAAUAGGACAUCAUAGAGGGUGAGAAUCCCGUAUUUGGUCAUUCCUCCUAGCGUUGUGAUACACUUUCAACGAGUCGGAUUGUUUGGGAAUGCAGUCCAAAAUGGGUGGUAAAUUUCAUCUAAAGCUAAAUAUUGGCGAGAGACCGAUAGCGAACAAGUACCGUGAGGGAAAGAUGAAAAGAACUUUGAAAAGAGAGUUAAACAGUACGUGAAAUUGUCAAAAGGGAAGCGUUUGACACCAGUGUUGUUUUUCCGAAAAUCAAUUACGAAUGUUUUAUUUUUGAGGAGUUAUGACUUCAUCGGCUUGCUCCUUUCUUUAUGGAACUUUCUUAAUGCACUUUUCGGUUAACAAGUCAACAUCAAUUUCUUUUGUUGUAAAAGAGUAUGAGGAAGGUGGCUUUCUUUUCGGAGAAAGUGUUUAUAGUCCUUGCUCCUCUGCAAUCGGAGAGAUUGAGGUCUGCAGCGUAGAUCCUUCGGGGUUAGAUACACUUUGUGCUAAGUUAUAGCUUUUCAUAGACAACAUGUUGACUAUGUUAAGUCUUGUAGCUUACUCGCUUGUGCUAUUUUACCUACGCUUAGGAUGUUGAAGAUGUAGCACAUCAU